AACGUAGGAGACAAACGUUAUCCGGAGUUACUGGGCGUAAAGGGCGUGUAGGUGGUAAUGUAAGUCUGGCGUGAAAAUUUUUCGGCUUAACCGGGAAAGGUCGUCGGAUACUGCAUCACUAGAGGACGGUAGAGGCGUGUGGAAUUCCUGGUGUAGCGGUGAAAUGCGUAGAUAUCAGGAGGAACACCUGUGGUGUAGACGGCUUUCUGGACCAUAGCUGACGCUGAGACACGAAAGCUGGGUAGCAAACAGG
RNAcentral lists this ribosomal RNA (253 nucleotides) under uncultured bacterium. RNAcentral's name for it is "partial 16S ribosomal RNA". It matches the Rfam family "Bacterial small subunit ribosomal RNA", at positions 524 to 776 of the family's 1533-position model. The record is from RNAcentral.